GUGGGGAAUCUUGGUCAAUGGGCGCAAGCCUGAACCAGCGACGCCGCGUGGGUGAUGAAGGCCUUCGGGUCGUAAAGCCCUGUGGGGAGGGACGAAAUGCCGCGGGUGAAUAAUCCGCGGAGCUGACUUUACCUCCUUAGCAAGCACCGGCUAACUCUGUGCCAGCAGCCGCGGUAAGACAGAGGGUGCAAACGUUGCUCGGAAUCACUGGGCGUAAAGCGCGUGUAGGUGGCUACGCAAGUCGGGUGUGAAAUCCCUGGGCUCAACCCAGGACGUGCACCCGAAACUGCGUGGCUUGAGUACCGGAGAGGGCAGUGGAAUUCCCGGUGUAGAGGUGAAAUUCGUAGAUAUCGGGAGGAACACCGGUGGCGAAGGCGGCUGCCUGGACGGUUACUGACACUGAGACGCGAAAGCGUGGGGAGCAAACAGGAUUAGAAACCCUGGUAGUCC
This 450-nucleotide ribosomal RNA is filed under the name uncultured bacterium. RNAcentral's name for it is "bacterial SSU rRNA". It matches the Rfam family "Bacterial small subunit ribosomal RNA", at positions 354 to 796 of the family's 1533-position model. The record is from RNAcentral.